RNAcentral lists this ribosomal RNA (461 nucleotides) under uncultured Fusobacterium sp. Its description in RNAcentral is "bacterial SSU rRNA". It matches the Rfam family "Bacterial small subunit ribosomal RNA", at positions 301 to 776 of the family's 1533-position model. Lineage: Bacteria; Fusobacteriati; Fusobacteriota; Fusobacteriia; Fusobacteriales; Fusobacteriaceae. The record is from RNAcentral.
UAAGUCCCCAAAUGGAUUGUUGUCACACCCCCUAUUUUCUUAUGGAGGCAGCAAAGGGGAAUAUUGGACAAUGGACCGAGAGUAUGAUCCAGCAAUUCUGUGUGCACGAUGAAGUUUUUCGGAAUGUAAAGUGCUUUCAGUUGGGAAGAAAGAAAUGACGGUACCAACAGAAGAAGUGACGGCUAAAUACGUGCCAGCAGCCGCGGUAAUACGUAUGUCACGAGCGUUAUCCGGAUUUAUUGGGCGUAAAGCGCGUCUAGGUGGUUAUAUAAGUCUGAUGUGAAAAUGCAGGGCUCAACUCUGUAUUGCGUUGGAAACUGUAUAACUAGAGUACUGGAGAGGUAAGCGGAACUACAAGUGUAGAGGUGAAAUUCGUAGAUAUUUGUAGGAAUGCCGAUGAGGAAGCCAGCUUACUGGACAGAUACUGACGCUGAAGCGCGAAAGCGUGGGUAGCAAACAGG